RNAcentral lists this ribosomal RNA (253 nucleotides) under uncultured bacterium. RNAcentral's name for it is "partial 16S ribosomal RNA". It matches the Rfam family "Bacterial small subunit ribosomal RNA", at positions 524 to 776 of the family's 1533-position model. The record is from RNAcentral.
UACGUAGGGGGCUAGCGUUGUCCGGAAUCAUUGGGCGUAAAGAGCUCGUAGGCGGUUUGUUGCGUCGGCCGUGAAAACCUGCAGCUUAACUGUGGGCCUGCGGCCGAUACGGGCAGACUUGAGUUCGGUAGGGGAGACUGGAAUUCCUGGUGUAGCGGUGAAAUGCGCAGAUAUCAGGAGGAACACCGGUGGCGAAGGCGGGUCUCUGGGCCGAUACUGACGCUGAGGAGCGAAAGCGUGGGGAGCGAACAGG